This 753-nucleotide ribosomal RNA is filed under the name Ctenophora environmental sample. RNAcentral's name for it is "partial Bacterial large subunit ribosomal RNA". It matches the Rfam family "Bacterial large subunit ribosomal RNA", at positions 26 to 731 of the family's 2925-position model. The record is from RNAcentral. Lineage: Eukaryota; Metazoa; Ctenophora.
GGAUGCCUUGGCAUGCUUAGCCGAUGAAGGACGUGUGAGGCUGCGUUAUGCCUCGGGGAGUUGCCAACAAAGCGUUGAUCCGAGGAUGUCCGAAUGGGGAAACCUGGCACUUGUUAUGGAGUGUUACCUGCAGAUGAAUGUAUAGUCUGUGUGGGGGUUACGCGGGGAAGUGAAACAUCUCAGUACCCGUAGGAGAAGAAAACAAUUGUGAUUCUGCUAGUAGUGGCGAGCGAACGUGGAUGAGGCUAAACCAUGCGUGUGUGAUACCUGGCAGGGGUUGCGCGUGUGGUGUUGUGGGCGAUGAUUGUGGGUAUGCUGCCAUGUACCCCUAUGAUGCGGCGUGUUAGCGGAAGUCACCUGGGAUGGUGUGCCGGAGAGGGUGAGAGCCCCUGUACGUGAAGGCGUGUCGUGUUGUGGUGAUUGUUUGCCCGAGUAGCAGUGGGCUCGUGGAAUCUGCUGUGAAUCUGCCGGGACCACCCGGUAAGCCUAAAUACUAAGUGUGACCGAUAGUGAAUAAGUACCGUGAGGGAAUGGUGAAAAGUACCCCGGGAGGGGAGUGAAAGAGUUCCUGAAACCGUGCGCUUACAAUCCGUCAGAGCACCGUUUGUGUGUGAUGGCGUGCCUUUUGAAGAAUGAGCCUGCGAGUCAGCGGCAUGUCGCGAGGUUAACCCGUUAUGUGGGGUAGUCGUAGCGAAAGCGAAUCCUAAUUGGGUGUUGUAAGUGGCAUGUCCUGGACCCGAAGCGGGGUGAUCU